GACGAACGCUGGCGGCGUGCUUAACACAUGCAAGUCGAACGGAAAGGCCCUGCUUUUGUGGGGUGCUCGAGUGGCGAACGGGUGAGUAACACGUGAGUAACCUGCCCUGGACUUUGGGAUAACUUCAGGAAACUGGUGCUAAUACCUGAUAGGAGCUCCUGCUGCAUGGUGGGGGUUGGAAAGUUUCGGCGGUUGGGGAUGUACUCGCGGCUUAUCAGCUUGUUGGGGGGGUAGUGGCUUACCAAGGGUUUGACGGGUAGCCGGCCUGAGAGGGUGACCGGCCACAUUGGGACUGAGAUACGGCCCAGACUCCUACGGGAGGCAGCAGUGGGGAAUAUUGCACAAUGGGCGGAAGCCUGAUGCAGCAACGCCGCGUGCGGGAUGACGGCCUUCGGGUUGUAAACCGCUUUAGCCUGUGACGAAGCGUGAGUGACGGUAAUGGGUAAAGAAGCACCGGCUAACUACGUG
This 468-nucleotide ribosomal RNA is filed under the name uncultured bacterium. RNAcentral's name for it is "partial 16S ribosomal RNA". It matches the Rfam family "Bacterial small subunit ribosomal RNA", at positions 28 to 507 of the family's 1533-position model. The record is from RNAcentral.